Molecule: non-coding RNA, 28 nt
Filed under: Bombyx mori (domestic silkworm)
Lineage: Eukaryota; Metazoa; Arthropoda; Insecta; Lepidoptera; Bombycidae
Source: RNAcentral
UGCAUGGUGUUGCGAGCAGACCGCGGGC